AUGGGCGUUGCUCUUGUGUUCUCGGGAGAAGCGGGAAGGGGCUCAGGGUUUGAAACAUUGGACAACGUAGACCAGCAACAAACUACCAACACUGUAGAGGAGCCGCUGGAUCUUAUCAGGCUCAGCCCAGAUGAGCGCAUUUAUGUGAAAAUGAGAAAUGACAGAGAGCUUCGAGGCAGAUUACACGCUUAUGAUCAACAUUUAAAUAUGAUCUUAGGAGAUGUAGAAGAAACUGUGACUACUAUAGAAACUGAUGAAGAAACAUAUGAAGAGAUAUAUAAAUCAAAGAAACGAAAUAUUCCAAUGCUCUUUGUCCGGGGAGAUGGUGUUGUACUGGUUGCCCCUCUGCUGAGAGUUGGCUGAAACAAAGAAUUUGUCCUUUGGAGACUUUGUACAGGGUCCUCUUUAAAUGUACAAGACAUUCAAAAGAGAAACCUGCAUACAUUUUGAUAUUAAGAAAUAAUUCCAGGGAUUCUUCCACUCCUGAAAUGAGUUGAUUUGCAGAUAACUCACAACUUCUUAAGCUAAAUUGUAUUUUCAUUUUUCUCAAGCCCUUCCAAUAAAUAUGACCACCAAGAUGCA
Molecule: RNA transcript, 582 nt
Organism: Sapajus apella (tufted capuchin)
Lineage: Eukaryota; Metazoa; Chordata; Mammalia; Primates; Cebidae
Source: RefSeq, a predicted model, not a curated record